UGAUAACGUAUUACAUACAAAAUAGGGAGAAUUCUCAAAGAACAAAAGAAUCGUGAGUUGGCUUGAAGAAGAAAAAGAAUCGAAAGAAUAUUGAUCUAAUUAAUAGCUGUUAAUGUUGCCUCUAAGACAUGUUGCAUUCUGGAGGUAGACCUUGGGGAAAUCUCUGGGCGUCGGUGCAGUAGUUGUAGAUCAUGUAGUUCUUCUGGACCCAUUGUAACCUUUGCUGACUAGUGGAAUCCAGCUCCUGAGAGAGCCACGCAUUGUUGGUUGAGGAAGAAGAUGGAGAAUUUGAUUUACAGGAAGAUGCUCCAUUAGACCAGACACAGGCAUUGGCAUUGAAUUCUCUGUAAGAAGCAGUCAAUGGAGCUUGAGUCCAAUCUGUCUUUACCAGACCACCCCUUGUAGCCCAAUCAUCAGCGUUCCACAGGCUGGAGUAAAUUCUCAUCGGUUGGUUCUUUGGAAAUGGGACACCAAGUGACUCCAUGUUUUUGAACUCUCUAAUGGGUGUGCCAUCCACCGAGAAGCUGGAACAUAGUAUAACAAGAUUUGUCAAUCAAGCAAUUCCUACCAAAGAAUAAAAGAAAAAAAAAAUUGGGGCAAAAUGCAAAUUUUCAAUUUAAGGAACACUCACAUGAUACGUUGGGAAUUCCAGAGGAUGGAAUAGGUGUGGAAAUCUGCAGUUGGGUCAAACCAGAGAUAGAACUGUUGCUCUCUGUUUCCCUUUCCUUGACUGAACACAUUGGUAUGAAGAAUGUAAGGAUCCCCACUAAGGUUCCCCAGAAACUCAAAAUCAAUCUCAUCCCAUGUUGAUCCUUUGGAAGAUAGCUGCAGAUAGAAAUAUACAUCAGCAUUUGUGCCAUCAACAUCUACACGUCCUCGUAAAAAUUGCGGACACCAAGAAUUAAUUAGAGAAUAACUUACAUAGUAGGCAGUGACUGUGCCAGCAGAGUUGCCAUGGACAAGCUUGAGCUGCAUAUCAAUCUCGCCAAAAAGAUAUUCAUCCUUGGACUGGAAACCGGAGCCAGAAGCUUUGUCAAGGGAGAGAGUGAGAACCUCUCCGUUGUUGUCUAUCUUACCACGGCCAUCUCCCCAUGUGAUGUCAAAAUCUUGGUAGAAGUUGCUAGCAGAUGCCGCCAUGAGACAGCCCAUUACGAGAGACAUAAGCAAUAUAUAAUUGAAACUUGAAGUUGAACCCUUUUUUUUUUCUGGUUUGCCUGAGCAGAGAGAAUAUGUUGGAAUUUGAGACGUUAAUAGCUUGAUACUUUGGUGUGUUUGAGAAGAAGGAUAGAGCUUGGUAUUUAUAGUAAAGAAAAAGGUAGAGGAAAAGGCCGCGAAGCUCCGUUCAGCUUGGUUGUGCACAGUUGUAGAGUAGGAAACAUAUUAUAGAAGUAGCUGUCAAGAUUGCACCAACGAACAGGACCCAACCAAAACACAGUUUAUGAUAUCACGCGGUUUACCUCUAUUUGUUUGUUUCAUUUUUGUGUGUGUAAGAGGAAAGUGCAGUCCUUUCGGCUUAUUGGUGCUCAGUUCCUGUCGCCUUGUUAGGCUUUUGGCACUAUUAGCUCCGGCUCACUUCCAGAACCAUGCACACGCAGCAGCACCGCCUUUACUAACCGAACAAUCCAAAAUAUUAAAGGAUUAAAUAUGUAAAAAUCAUUUUUUCCCCAAAAAAAGGGAAAACUUAAAGAAAACCAAAUAAGAAAUCAUGUCAGCACUCAGUUGACUCCAUAAUAGUUCUAUUUUACCCUUAGUAAUAUUAAACAUUUAAUUUUGAUUUAAGAACUCGGAGACAAUCGACUAAGAAAUAAAUGAUAUGUGAGUCAUAACUAUUUAUUGCGUACAUAGCUGGUGGGAAUGCUUAUCUUUAUCACGUUAUUUAAUUUGUCUUCUUGAUUUUGAUUUUCUUUGGACGACUUCUUCUUAUUCUCUUGAACCUCUUCAACAUUCUUUUAUUUUUUGCUUGACUCAAUGUUGUUUCUGUAUUAAAAAAAAAUACCAAAUUUCUUGUCUUGUUCUCUGUUUUUUUAUUCAGUUUUCAUGACAUCAAGCAGUACCUUUCUUUCUUCCUCUUUUUUUCAAUUUUCAUGACAUCAAGCAGCACCUUUCUUUCUUUCUCUUUUCCAAACAUCACUAAUCUUGUCUCUGUAAAAUUAGAUUCUCAUGAUUACUUUUUUUUUAAUUAAGAAAAAAAAUUUAAAUCUUACUCUUUAAACAAAAAAAUAUAAACCAAUCAAUAAGUAAAACACUCAAAUGUGAAUUUUGUAACCAAUAAAAUUUGAAAAAUUGAUUGUUGGUCUAGAGAAGGCAUUCGACCAUUUUAAUGCCCAUCUUGUUGCAAGUCCAUGCUGUUAAGCUCGGCAAAUUUUCAUGAUUGCUUAUAUGUGAAAAAGCUCCUAUUUGUAUGUCGCACAUUCAAGUUAAAUGUGCUUACAAGAGGAUAUGAUUAAAGCUAUAUAAAAUAGAAGAUAAAAUAUCUGACAGACCAAUACAAGACAUGAAAUAAAUCACUAAGAAUGCAAUUGACACUACCACAUUGAAUAUGUCGAUGAUAAAUUAAUGUGGGAAGAGUGUGCGAUGGGAUGGCCCUUGCCCCUCCACCUUUGGCCCUGCCUUAAUAGUAACGCAGCGUGGAUGUACAUUUUGUUUCAAGAAUUAUUGAAUGAUAAAAACUUCUACCAAAAUUAAUCAAAAUUUGUUAUGAUUAAAUAUUAAAAUUUUUUAAGAAAAUCACUAGGGUUAUCCUUCUCAUAAAUGUAAACAUAACUAAUGGAAUAUUUAUUUUUAUCACGUUAUGUUCAUUUGUCUUCCUCACUUUGGUUUUCUUUUCCAAGUCCUUGUUUUCUUUGAAGUGUAAAAUCUGUGUCCCUGUUUUCUGAAGUCCUUGUUCUCUGUCCCAUAUAAAAAUAUUUAAAAUCUCUAAAUAUUGGUAUUUACUUCUUCGUCUCGAUUUGAUACAUAUACCCUCUAAAUGAAACUGAUCCAAGUCCAUCAAUUUGGGGAGAGAAGUAAACUCUUGUUGUUGCAUAUCAUAUGAUAACGUAUUACAUACAAAAUAGGGAGAAUUCUCAAAGAACAAAAGAAUCAUGAGUUGGCCUGAAGAAAAAGAAUUGAAAGAAUAUUCAUCUAAUUAACAGCCGUUAAUGUUGCCUCUAAGACAUGUUGCAUUCUGGAGGUAGACCUUGGGGAAAUCUCUUGGCGUCUGUGCAGUAGUUGUAGAUCAUGUAGUUCUUCUGGACCCAUUGUAGCCUUUGCUGACUAGAGGAAUCCAGCUCCUGAGAGAACCACGCAUUGUUGGUUGAGGCAGAAGAUGGAGAAUUUGAUUUGCAGGA
RNAcentral lists this long non-coding RNA (3329 nucleotides) under Theobroma cacao (cacao). Its description in RNAcentral is "long non-coding RNA (TCAC_LNC005234)". Lineage: Eukaryota; Viridiplantae; Streptophyta; Magnoliopsida; Malvales; Malvaceae. The record is from RNAcentral.